This 320-nucleotide unclassified non-coding RNA is filed under the name uncultured Thelephorales. RNAcentral describes it as "sequence contains 5.8S rRNA gene, ITS2, 28S rRNA gene". Lineage: Eukaryota; Fungi; Basidiomycota; Agaricomycetes; Thelephorales. The record is from RNAcentral.
AACGCACCUUGCGCCCUUUGGCUAUUCUGAAGGGCAUGCCUGUUUGAGCAUCAUAAACACCUUCAACUCUCAUGGUUUGCCAUGAUGAGCUUGGAACUUGGGGGUCUUGCUGGCACAUGGUUGGCUCCUCUAAAAUAAAUCAGCUUGUCAGUGUUCGACAGCAACCAUGGGUGUGAUAACUAUCUACGCUUGUGGUUUCCUGUCGGGUAACCUUCGAUCAUGAUGGAGGGUUCACUGAGGCUCAGAAAUGUCUCUCUUUGGUGGAGACAACACUUUGAAUGUUUGAUCUCAAAUCAGGUAGGACUACCCGCUGAACUUAA